This 253-nucleotide unclassified non-coding RNA is filed under the name uncultured Myxococcales bacterium. RNAcentral's name for it is "contains 16S-23S intergenic spacer region". It matches the Rfam family "Bacterial small subunit ribosomal RNA", at positions 524 to 776 of the family's 1533-position model. Lineage: Bacteria; Pseudomonadati; Myxococcota; Myxococcia; Myxococcales. The record is from RNAcentral.
UACGGAGGGUGCAAACGUUGCUCGGAAUCAUUGGGCGUAAAGGGUGUGUAGGCGGCCGAGUUUGUCCACUGUGAAAUCUCCAGGCACAACCUGGAAAGUGCAGUGGAAACGGCUCAACUUGAGUAUCGGAGAGGGUGACGGAAUUCCCGGUGUAGUGGUGAAAUACGUAGAUAUCGGGAGGAACACCAGUGGCGAAGGCGGUCACCUGGCCGAAUACUGACGCUGAGACGCGAAAGCGUGGGGAGCAAACAGG